GGGUCAGUAGGCUGGUCGUGCCACCGGUACGUACUGGUCUCACUGAUUCCUCCUUCCUGAAGAACCGUAAUGCCAUUAAUUUGGUGUUGCGGGAAAACAGGACUGUUACUUUGAAAAAAUUAGAGUGUUUAAAGCAAGCUAACGCUUGAAUACAUUAGCAUGGAAUAAUGAAAUAGGACGAUCGAUCCUAUUUCGUUGGUCUCUAGGAUUGACGUA
This 216-nucleotide ribosomal RNA is filed under the name Glomeromycotina sp. RNAcentral describes it as "partial small subunit ribosomal RNA". The stretch from base 40 to 216 matches the Rfam family "Eukaryotic small subunit ribosomal RNA", at positions 686 to 864 of the family's 1831-position model. Lineage: Eukaryota; Fungi; Glomeromycota. The record is from RNAcentral.